AACGAACGCUGGCGGCAUGCCUAACACAUGCAAGUCGAACGAGACCUUCGGGUCUAGUGGCGCACGGGUGCGUAACGCGUGGGAACCUGCCCUUAGGUUCGGAAUAACUCCCCGAAAGGGGUGCUAAUACCGGAUAAUGUCUUCGGACCAAAGAUUUAUCGCCUUUGGAUGGGCCCGCGUUGGAUUAGCUAGUUGGUAGGGUAAAAGCCUACCAAGGCGACGAUCCAUAGCUGGUCUGAGAGGAUGAUCAGCCACAGUGGGACUGAGACACGGCCCAGACUAAUACGGGAGGAAGAAGGGGGGGAGAGUGGAAAGUGGGAUAAAGUGUGACACAGCAAUGACGGGGGAAGGAGGAAGGAGUGAGGGGGGGAAAGAGAGGGGAAAAGGGAGGAGAAGGACAGUAGCGGGAGAAGAAGCGAAGGCUAACUCAGGG
Molecule: ribosomal RNA, 433 nt
Filed under: uncultured bacterium
Lineage: Bacteria
Description: partial 16S ribosomal RNA
Rfam family: Bacterial small subunit ribosomal RNA (bases 13-343)
Source: RNAcentral